UUUUAAGUGCUUUGGAUCGUCUAUUCAGAACAGGUACACUCGGGGCAUUUCCUUGAGGUUCCCAGCAGAUGAUCGCGGAUGUUUUUCCCCAACAGUUGGAGUUUGGUAUCUUAUCCCUGCAGAGUUGGUCUAAGCAUUGGAUUCUUCAAUCCCCAGCAGAUUCUCACUACUGUACUUCACCAAGCUUGUGUUUCAGACUAUACGCUCCCCAGUAGAGUCGACAAUGUCACACUAUAUAUCCCCAGCGGAGUU
RNAcentral lists this long non-coding RNA (252 nucleotides) under Lathyrus oleraceus (garden pea). Its description in RNAcentral is "Pisum sativum (pea) long non-coding RNA (PSAT_LNC029576)". The record is from RNAcentral. Lineage: Eukaryota; Viridiplantae; Streptophyta; Magnoliopsida; Fabales; Fabaceae.